UACGAAGGGUGCAAGCGUUGCUCGGAAUUAUUGGGCGUAAAGGGUAGGUAGGUGGUCUUGUUUGUCUGGGGUGAAAUCCUUGGGCUUAACCUAAGAAGUGCCUCGGAAACGGCAAGACUAGAGUCCUAGAGAGGGUCGUGGAAUUCCCGGUGUAGCGGUGAAAUGCGUAGAGAUCGGGAGGAACACCAGAGGCGAAGGCGGCGACCUGGAUAGGUACUGACACUCAACUACGAAAGCGUGGGGAGCAAACAGG
This 253-nucleotide ribosomal RNA is filed under the name uncultured bacterium. Its description in RNAcentral is "partial 16S ribosomal RNA". It matches the Rfam family "Bacterial small subunit ribosomal RNA", at positions 524 to 776 of the family's 1533-position model. The record is from RNAcentral.